CAUAUGCAUCGAUACAUCAGUGCUAUUUCCUAGCAAUUGCUGGGAGCCAAAGUGCAAAUUCCCAUCUGAGAGAAGAAAGAGAAAUGUAGGCUGUAAGUGGUGUUGGCAGGCAAUAGAUCCACUACAAAGACAAAACAUCCAGCCAGACGGACGAACUGGAAACAUUCUCAAGUUAGAUUCUUUUUUAUUCUUGGGGUCCAAGAUAGUUCCGUUGUCUGAAGAAACAAUCUCUCUUCAGUUUUACUCAGAAGAUCAAUUUCUUUUUUGGAAUCAAAGGAAGUAUUUGCUUUCUUUCAUGAAAAUGAAAUUCCCAGACUAUUAGAAUUUAGUUAAAGAUAAAUCUUUGAAGAAAUAGAAUCAAUAAAGUACUAAACUUGAUAUCUUUUUAUAGGUAAACGGUUUAAAUUCGCUUGGUUUUGCUUCGAAAGUAUGGUUUUAUGUACAGAAAAGAACAACAACAAUAAUAAAAAAACACAAGAAAAGUGGGGUGAAGUUGCCGGAGUCACGUUCUGGAGCAUACACGUGACCCGAGAGCUGCAGAGGAGUGGCUGACACAGCCUAAUGACCAAGUCGUCAGGGUUGUGGGUAAGAAAAUUAAGGGGGUCACUCCGAGAGCGCUCCUACCCUCCCAGACCUCGUGCCCAUUGCCCUCCGACCUUUCAGCCAUUUUUAAAGUAUCUGAAAAGAAAACAGGAGCUGGACAUCCGGACAUACAUCAUAUUGUCGUCGCGCGGUAGCCAAUGUAGAUGGAAUUCACCAUUCACCUUCUAGCUCCUCCGAACGUAUGACAGUUUUGUCGCAAGGCUGUAAAGAAAUCCUCUUCAACCCCCUGCAGAGUACUGUAGAGAACUCCUACCUUCUAGAAAAUCCUCUCUUUGUGCUAGGUAACCAUGACGACGGUCCUAUACCCAAUUUAAUAUAAAAAUACAGUGUGGUGAAAGAAGAAAUGGAUUGAUGCACUAUAAAGUAUAUACCAAGGAUUAUUCCAUGGCUAAUACGCUUCUUCAUUUUUGUCUUUCUUUUUUCUAAAAGCACCGGUUCAAUAGGUGUUUGUGAAUAUUUCAUUUUAACUUUAGAAAAUAAAA
Long non-coding RNA from Centruroides sculpturatus (bark scorpion), 1085 nucleotides. RefSeq lists it as uncharacterized. NCBI's taxonomy places the organism in Eukaryota, Metazoa, Arthropoda, Arachnida, Scorpiones, Buthidae. The transcript is spliced from 3 exons. The record is from RefSeq and is a predicted model, not a curated record.